Molecule: long non-coding RNA, 4420 nt
Organism: Helianthus annuus (common sunflower)
Lineage: Eukaryota; Viridiplantae; Streptophyta; Magnoliopsida; Asterales; Asteraceae
Exons: 17
Source: RefSeq, a predicted model, not a curated record
CACACAGAAAUGUUGAAACUUUCCACGAACAACCUAAAAUCACGUUGCUUUCUCCCCCUCAAAUCCUAGAUCCAUUUUCAAAAUUCAAACCUAAAAUCACGUCCUCUUUCUCUCCUAAAAUCUAUCCAUUUUCAAAAUUCAAACCCUACUCACCCAAAUCUCUCUCCCUCUCAGAUCUUCGCCAAAACCAAGCGUGCGUGCUCUCUCAUUCUCUAAUGAUGGUGAAAGGAGUUUUAGGGUUUAUGGUCAAAUCGAAUCAGGAGAAAAAAAUAUAGGGUUUACACAUCAAGUAUGAUGAUUUGAACAAAGGGCAUAGACAUUCAUCUGAUGAUCUUCAACAUCAAAAGGCCUUUUUCUUCUGCGUUAAUCUCGAAAAGAGAUAUAUGCAAUAACAUGAUGAAGUGGAUCUUUCUACCAUUGGAAUGGCUUUCAUAUUUUGAGCGGGACGAAAACAGUGGACUAAGUUUGGCUCCGCGUGUUUUGCAAUAAACUGGUUUAUUUCUUAUGGUUUAUAUAUGGGAUACUAAAACUGUCUACUUUACUACUGGUCUAGGGUUGAUUUUUCUUCUGCUUCACUAUAUGGAGCUUUAAAACGUGUCAACAUGUUUCCAUCGUUGCUUGUGUAGCCUACCCACAAAGAUAAGGAACGUAGUGGUCCGGCUGGAUAUAAAAAACAAGCCAUGGCUCAUGCGCUUUUGGUGGGUUUACGUGACUAGAGCCGAUGGUGAAUACAUUAGCAAGAAACUCUCUUUCAUCCACAAUGGCUGAUCCGUUCCAUUUAGGAUUUUCCUUCAAAAACUGCAAUUGCACCAAUAUUUCCAAAUUUUUUUUUUUGCCUCGGUUCCUACAGUGUCAUCUUCCCAAUGGGAUUGCUAUUAAGUAUUAACUACAAGGUCUGCACGGCGUAGAAAGUAGAAACGAUGGAUGCAGUACACGAAACAGCCCAGUAGUUGGUGGGCCUUUCAAGUUGAUUGGUUCAGAUGGUAAAUUAGUGAUCCAAAAGGGGGAGAAUGGAUACUAAUCUAAUUUGGUUAUACUUCAUCCCCUGAUGUAAGGCCAGCCGAAUUUGCCAAAUUGGCCAAGGCUAUCGAUACAACAGGUUCUUUCUCUUGCUUUCUUGAUAUAAUAUAAUGAAUAUCACAUAUAGAUUCAAAACACAACAUUAAGGUUUAACCUGUUUACGUUGGUAUUGAUCCACAACGCGAUACCCCAUCUCACCUUCGUGCUCAUCUCAAAGGUCGGUUCUCCUUUCAAUAGGGUCAUUUGCUUUUACCUAUAAAAACUAAAGCUUUUACCAAUUUCGAUUUAAGGUAAUAAUUGUGGUUUGGUAAGUUAUUAUUGUUUUUUUAAAACAUGGAGUGCAGAAUUUAUGAGAGAAUGAUGGGUCUAACUGGACCAGUUGGUGUUGUAAGACGGAUGGCAAAUGAGUAUAGAUUGUUUUUUAAGAAGGCCGAAGAAGAUGGGGAUGAUUAUCUUUUCGAAUCUUCACACAUUAAAUUAUAAUAAAUCAUUUACAAGUGCAACUAAACUUGAAGAUAUUCUUUGGGACACGAAACACGACAUGGAUGUGGAGUCACCCAUAUAUAAGAUAGCUUGAUCAUCAGCAAGGUAGGCGCAGUUGGCUGUGGAGUCGCCACUCUUGUGGUUUGAAUCUAUACUGAGUUAUUUUACAGGUUGAAGCUCUUGAAGACCAAAAGGCAUCAGAAAAGAGUAUAACGAGCUUGACACUGUCUGGUUUAUGGUUGGAUCUCUAUUCCAGGUGUUUUUUCUUGUUCCUUUGGUGACUUGUGAUGUUUGUAUUGUAUAGGGUUAGACCUAUUUAGUUCACAAAUUAGCAAGAAAUGGUUUUAUCUUUGUUUUUGCUUGUUUUGAGUUGAGUUCUCUACAUGAUUUUUUUCCUUAAUUUCUCUCUCUUUUUUUGUAUUUUAAGCAGCAAUACCCAUUUGAUAUUCUUACAGAGGCCUUUUAAUAUGGGAUAUUUAUACAAGCUUUUGCAGUAGUUCAAUCUGAUAUGACCCAUGAUGAUAUGGGUUUGUUGUACUUCUUGUUUUAUGUAUGUGCCAAAAAGUGUUUUAUCUUGUAUAUAUGAUGAGAACUUAUUGGUUCAGUUUUUACUCUAGGAAAUAUGAUUUAACAAGUUCAAGUGAAUUUUUUUUGAGCCUGCUUCCUUCAUGCAGAGAGGAACUCAUUCUGUGAAUCAGGUGCUACACUGCUACUUGCACUCAACUUAUGCAGAGUCGGCUGAAGUUUACCUUUCCAUAGCAUAUGUUCUAGGCUCAUUUUUAAAAUUAAAAUUGUUAUUGGACUUUGUUCUCUAUUUUGUUGGAUAAAUGUUGACCUUCAUUAAAUGUUCUGUGACUCACUUCUGUACCUUGAUAACGUAUGUCGUAAUGUAAAUUGUCACCCCCGCCGCAUCGCGCGGGCACCCUACUAGUACUACUAUAUAAAACAUAUCCAAAGGACUUCUUAAAGUCCAUAAAAAUUCCAUUAAAACACCAUUAAAGCAUGAUGUACAAUCCUCUAAAGCACAACAUAAUUUGGUUUUCCUAUUCUACCCUCACUCACAAAACAAGGCGGAGAACAAAACCACGUUAUCAGCUCAUUAGGGUUUCUGUCUUUCACAUCCGCCCCAUUUCUUCUCUCUCUCUCUCUCACCAGGAGAUAACCCUUGAUCGAUGGAUUUCACUGCCGAAUUCACUGGAUCGACGGAUUUCACCUGCGAAUCCACAUCUCAGGGUUUUUUCUCCGGCUAUGACCCUAGAUCGAUGGUUUUUUCUGUCGAAUCCACAUCUCAGGGUUUCUUUCUCCAGCGAUGACCCUUGAGCGAUGGAUUUCACCGGCGUUUUCAAAUCUCAGGGUUUAUUUCUCCGGCGAUAACCCUAGAGAUAGAUGGAUUUCACCAGCGUUUUCACAUCUCAGGUACCAUCUUAUUAACCAGAUCUGUAACUAUUUUCUUGCAGAUCUGUUAAAUUUUAGGGUUUGUUUCUACUUGAUUUGUGAAAUAGAUCCAGAUCUGUAACUAUUUUCUUGCAGAUCUGGUUACUUUCAGAUCCGUACAGUUUUAGUCAUGUUUUAAUCGGUAAAGUUAUCGGAUACUGAUUUGCUUCUUUUUCUAUCAUGGAUGUGAAUAAUGCAGGUUUAGUUUUAAAUCUACUUGUUGUUUAUCGUCUGUGAAUAAGUUUGGAUCUGGUUUCGUUUGCGAUCUAAGUAAGGUGUUUGGUUUUGUGUUGAAUAUGCUAUUUGUGGGGUGAUGUUUCAAGGCAUUAAAUAUAAAGGAAAUGAAUUGCUUAUAAAAAAACAGCUCAUUCGAGAAAACAAUUCAAUUCAGAUUAAACUAAAGCCAUCAAAUGUGUUCAUUUUCAUUUUGUGGGUGUGUGUGCUUUUUUUGGCAGGGUGUGGAGUUGAAUUUUUUUCUCACAAUGAGGCAUUCAAAAGGAUGAGAUUCUGUCAGAGAUGUUAUAAAAUGUAACAUGAAAAACAAACUUAUGUCUAUGUAGGUACUCAUUGAGAGUUUGAGACCACGAAUCCAUCUAUUGCUUAAUGAAUCAGGGAUAAUCUUGACAGGUCAUAAAGCUGGAGCUUCAUAUACGGGUCAAAUGUGCCUUGCCUGCAACUAUUUUUCUGAUUUUAUUUUCUUGUUGCAGGUGCCAAAAAGCUUCGAAGUGAAGAUGCUAGCCUUGAGGUUGUGGCAGCUGGUGUUGUUCCAAUUCUUGUUACUAGAGGCAUUGAGAAGACAAAUAAAGUGAGGCAUUGAGAAAACAAAUAAAGCUUUGGUGGCUGUGUUCAAGCCGAUCUCAAACUAGGUUUCGUAGAUCUCGUUGGCCUUUUGUCAUUCGUCUCCCUUGGUGGUCAACAUUUGAAUGUUGGUGGCGCUUUUUUCUUUCUCUCAUAUUCAUCAACGAUUUCUCAGGCAGAGCAGGGAGCAAUUACUUGAACACUAACAAGUUCAUUGAUGUUGUCGCCGAUGAGCUCAAAGCAAGACUCCCCAACAAAUAAUCAUGAUGAUUCCUUAUUGGUUACAUGGUGGUCGAGACUUGAGGGUCAGUUUCAAAGAUUCUAAAGAGGUCUUUUAUUUUCUAUAUUUGUAACUGGAAUUUUGGCGAAUUUAUAUUAGAUACUACCAGACGACUAAGAACGGGUCUCUUUUGGCAUUGCUUUCUUGAUGGAAUUGUUGUAUAUAAACUUAAUUUCAUUUUUCUUAAGUAAAAGAAUGACAGUUAACAACACAUUUCAUCAGCAGACUCCCAAGAUUUGUGGGUAAAAAUAACUAUUUCUUCCGGAUUGCCGGAUUGCCUCACGCGAGUUGUAAUGUUAAAUUUUGUAUAUACUAAAGGAUGCUACAAGUUAGAUAGUAAAGGCUAAAAACUUUAGAGAGCGACGAUAUUUACCCAAAUGUACAGAAAUGUGACAAUCUGAGUUG